GGGGCGAUGUCCCGAGCGGCAAAGGGGGCGGAUCUUACAUCUGCUGGCUAUGCCUUCGUAGGUUCGAGUCCUACUCCCCCACC
Molecule: transfer RNA, 83 nt
Filed under: Microvirga aerophila
Lineage: Bacteria; Pseudomonadati; Pseudomonadota; Alphaproteobacteria; Hyphomicrobiales; Methylobacteriaceae
Description: tRNA-Stop
Rfam family: tRNA
About the family: Transfer RNA (tRNA) molecules are approximately 80 nucleotides in length. Their secondary structure includes four short double-helical elements and three loops (D, anti-codon, and T loops).
Source: RNAcentral